CAGCCCGCAGCUCCUGCCUGCAGAGCGCGUAGCCCGCGCCUGGAAGGGCACCCGCCAGCCAGGGGCCGGCCAAGCGCCGGCCGGUGCCAAGGACCCAGCGCUAGCCACGCGCUCCGGGGCUCGGGGAGAAUUGGGAGCGGCUCCGACGCCCUCGUCCCACCCAGCAGCGCCGGUUCAGCACCGGGACAGCGGACAGCACACGGGCGGAGCGCCGGCGGGAGGCAGGGUCCGGAGAGCAGGGCCCGCGCUGGGAGACACAGUGGAAGGUUUUUUCAGAAUUAGUUUGUGGCCCUUCUCACUGAUGUGUAAACAGCUGGUCUCCAGGCCUCAUAUUCAGCUCCAUCCGGAUUCGCUGCAGCUACAAGGAAAGCCGAUUGGAGCAGCCCCACUGCAGGUCAGGAGACAGGAACCUGGUCCUGGGUGCUGGGCCCCAGCUGAGCACACAAGCCCUGUGGCUCCGGGCUCAGGGCAGCAGCUGCGGCUUUCUUCUACUUAGUGCAGGCAGGCGUUGUGCCCUCCCAUAUGGCACCGAGUGGACAGUCGUGCCUUUGGCCCUGAGAGGUAUGGACACUGCCUCGUUAGCUCCUGGAGUUACUGACAAUACAUCCGUGAACAGGAAUGCCCUAAGUGACAUCUGGAAAGUCACAAAAGUAUGGUCUGCUGACCCACUCGGUUCUUGAGAGAAUCAGCAACCUGCAGCCUUUCCCGUAUCGUUCCUCUGGGCAAUUGCCUUGCCGGGUGCUUGCAGUGCGUGAGAAGGGAUGGCACCAAGUCCAAGGCCGGCGAGAGCUGGCCUCUGUCCAUCGCAGCAGCAGGAUGAGCUCCGGGAGGCACAGAUGGAAUCCAUUCAUUUGGAGAAGCAGAGGAAGUUGGCAGAAAAGAUCAAAUACAAAGUGCUCGCGGCAGCCUGAGUCCCACAGGCUGGCUCCAUAAACAAAGGAUGCACUCCACCGGAGCCGGCUGAGUGGUGCUGUUUUUAGCAAUCGAGGCCCAAUGAGCUGGGCCACUUAUAGGAUUUUUCCUACAUGACUUCAGUAGACGGCGUCCAAGCACAACUGCUCACGCGUAGUGUGGAGAAGUCAGAGUUCUAAGUCUCAUAUUUUGUGUUUUUCUAAGUGGCAGUUUGAAUUCUUUCAUGAGAUAGAAAAUGUGAAACACAAAUGAACGAUUCCUGACAAAAGUGCUGUCGAUCAACGAGAAAGACAUUUUCCUUUAGAUGCCAGCACGGCUGAGUGACAACAUAGAAACUCCUAAAGAAGGCUCUUGCUGGGGAGCGAGGCUCCUGCCACUGGUCCCCUCCGUGGGGAAGGCCCCCGGGUGGGUACCCUCGGCCCCUCUGGUCCUGCAUGCUGGUUCUCUGUGUAGAAUGUUGGAGAAAUAAAGCAUGAGGCUUGCUGCCAUCCUUUU
Long non-coding RNA from Hipposideros armiger (great roundleaf bat), 1407 nucleotides. RefSeq lists it as uncharacterized. The transcript has 4 exons. The record is from RefSeq and is a predicted model, not a curated record. NCBI's taxonomy places the organism in Eukaryota, Metazoa, Chordata, Mammalia, Chiroptera, Hipposideridae.